Molecule: long non-coding RNA, 469 nt
Organism: Hyla sarda
Lineage: Eukaryota; Metazoa; Chordata; Amphibia; Anura; Hylidae
Exons: 3
Source: RefSeq, a predicted model, not a curated record
UUUUUUUCAAAAAUGCAACUGUGUAUCCGCACGUCAGGCGCUUGUCACCGCAAGUCACGCCCCCCGCCGGCAGCCUCAGCCAAUGAGGAGCGGCUGGGCAAGAGGGCUCGCCGUUGCUAGGAGUUCCCGUUAAUCCUCCUGCAUUGAAAAGAGAGGGUGUGGAGUUUGAUCACUGCACCUGGCCAUCCAAUCACACUGCUGGUGCUAGAGGUCACCCAACUGUUCUUCAGUCUCAACGCUGGGAAGCCCAAAGUGCGCCCUCAUCAGAUACUCCUUCCCACCCUGCAAAAUGAUGACCAGAUGUUAGAAGACUUGAAUUCAUUGUGGUGGAACGAUAUACAAAAAAGACCACUUGUCUAGUUAUCAGUGGGCUUCAGGGAUACCCUUGGUGGCCCCAUUGGCUUCAACACAUAAAGUAGAUGGUACGGUAAAUGAACCAACUCGCUAACUCAACACAUUUCUAGCUCAU